UAUUUGAAAACUAAGGAGAUAAACUUUAUACCAUGACGAAUUAUUUAUUCUAUUGACGACAGUGAGUCUAACUGCCAUCCUCAAAAUCUCAGCCGUCUAAACUCCACGUUCUUUCAAUCUGAGCCACAUAAACUCGAUUUUGGCGGUUGUUUGCAGUUCAUCGCCUCCUGAUUCUUCUCCCCACGAUUAUGUACGAUUGCGUCUCUACCCACGUUCUACACAAUUGUCGGUUGUCUCCUCAAGAAGCAAUUCAAUUGGAAACUGCAUUAAACUGCAGCACGCCUCCGACUUUUACCCUAAACCACAAAUUGGUUUUAAUCAAGAACUGCACCACACGAUUCCAUGAUUGCUAGAAAUCAGUUAUUGACCCAUUAGUCCUACAAAUAUGCCUAUUGAGGCCUAUAUAAGAGUACUCUUUGAAGUAAUUUUGUUAAUCGGUUCUAUUGCUUCACCGAAUCAUGGACCAGACGAUGUUCUUCAUCGACAAACCACAAUCAGCCAAAAUUGCACCCUCCUUCUUCUUUGCGUCAAGCUCCAGGUUCACCCUUUUUUUUUCCUUUUCUUUCUUCUUCUAAUUCGAUCACAUUGAUCGCAGGUAAGUUUCAAGGAAUUCAAAUUAGUAUACCCCCUCUGCUCCUUUUCAAUCGAUCAUAUGUUCCUCUUCACCCUUAUUAUUAUUAUUAUUAUUAUUAUUAUUAUUAUUAUUAUUAUUAUUUGGCAGAAUUGGUGCAGAUCACAAGAUGUUGAAAGGGAAAUGGAUAUCUUGGAACAAUAAGUUAACGACUAGAAGCUUAUUAACCUAAUUACCCCUUUUGACAAAUUAUUUGUUCUAUGUAGUUAGAUUUGUAGCUUAAGAAGUUGGAAACCAAAAGUCUACCAAUGAUUCUGCUAUGUUUUGAUAGAUUCAUGGGAAGUGGAUAUCAACUGAAAGAAUUCGAAAUAGUUGAACAUGUUACCCCAUUGAGAUUGGGAAUAGAAAUAUUUUUAGCAGGUAUGUUGAAACCAAUUAAUUGAAGGAAAUGAGCCUGAAGAUGAACUUGAAUAAACAAAAGAACGAAAAAAAAUCCAAGCAUCUGAUUCCACGCCUAAAUGAUGAAUGAACCCAUCUUGGAAGAAUCAUAUCAGGGUAUGUGCACAUAGUGUCAUCUGUUGGUGGAGAAGAUACAACGUUUGGAGGCAUAGACAUGGUGGAAGCAAGGCAUGAGGUUGCAUUUUUUAAGGCGAAAUUGUUACAGCUUCAUGACUUAUCCUUUUAGAAGACUCUUCACCUAAAUUGUUGAUAUAAGUCUCCGUUUCCAGUUGUUUCCAUUGGAUUUAGACUCAAAUUUCUCAAAGUAUGUUUUGUAAAUCCCAAACACUACUUCAAAGUUCAAAGUAGGAAGUAGUUGGUAUUCAUUAUAUCUUUUGGAGCAAAUAUAAAAAAGGGUGUUUGGAUUUUCUUUUCUUAAGUAAUUAUUUUGAUUUCAAGAAUUACAAUCAGAUAAUAAUUUGAGAAAUUUAGGGAUAAUAUGAUACUUUUCCAUUUAUCCUGCAAUAAAUCUGAUUUUGGCACUAAAGAUUCUGUCAUGAUGACUUCUUAUACUGGAAUUGUUCUGAAAAUAUCAUAACCUCUUUUAGAUGCUAUUAUUGAGAAGAAAGUAUCUCUUUCUGAAUGCAACAAUACUGUAACAUCCUAAAUUUAAGACUAUAUUAUUAAAUUAAUAAGAUAAAGGGGAAAAUGAUAGAGAAAAGUCAUUAAAUUUGCUGGGAAAAUUACCCUAAGUCAAGGGAAAAAAAGGGCAUUUUUGGAAUUUUACCAAAACUAGGUGGGGUUUUGUCACAUGAUGUUAAUAAGAUAAAAGGCAAAAUGGUAGAGAAAAGUCAUUAAAUUUGCUGGGAAAAUUACCCUAAGUCAAGGGGAAUAAGGGCAUUUUCGGAAUUUUACCAAAACUUAGUGGAGUUUUUUCACAUGAUGUUAAUAAGAUAAAAGGCAAAAUGGUAGAGAAAAGUCAUUAAAUUUGCUGGGAAAAUUACCCUAAGUCAAGGGGAAUAAGGGCAUUUUCGGAAUUUUACCAAAACUUAGUGGAGUUUUUUCACAUGAUGUUAAUAAGAUAAAAGGCAAAAUGGUAGAUAAAAGUCAUUAAAUUUGCUGGGAAAAUUACCCUAAGUCAAGGGGAAUAAGGGCAUUUUCGGAAUUUUACCAAAACUAGGUAGGGUUUUUUCACAUGAUGUUAAUUUGUUGCUGCCCACGUUUCCCCAAAAAAGCUACAACAUGGUAAACAAUCACCAUCCAUUUGAACUUUGAAGAAGAUGACAAUGCAAUGUAAGUUUAUGUUAACUAUUUUCUCUUAUUAUUUAUUUUUGAAUUUAUGACACUUUGGUUGAAUUGAAUCUUAUCUGGUGGGAAUAAAAGGAUGAGACAGAAGUCUAUUAAGUCAACUAACCAUUUUUCUUACUUUUAAAUUGUGUUUAAUUAUUUGCCAAUUUGGUCUAUCAAGUGUCAUGUUUUUCUUUGGGUUUGUCCAUGUGAUCGAAUUUUGAAAUACAAAUUGAAUUUAAUCUAAAAAUUAAUUUUCUUUAAGUCGGAAAAAAAUAUUAUAUUCUACUGGUUACAUCAGAACCAAACAAAAUUAAUUUAGAUAUGGCUUUAGUUCAAUAAUGAUGUUUAUUUGUCUUAUGUUUCAUAUUUUUUUUGGUGUAAUUUGGUGUAUACAAUCAAUUAAUGUAACUGAACUGAACAUGCAGAAGAAUAGACAUGCAAGAAAUAGCAAGGAUAUGGUGAAGGAU
Molecule: long non-coding RNA, 2766 nt
Organism: Lactuca sativa (garden lettuce)
Lineage: Eukaryota; Viridiplantae; Streptophyta; Magnoliopsida; Asterales; Asteraceae
Source: RefSeq, a predicted model, not a curated record